RNAcentral lists this ribosomal RNA (385 nucleotides) under uncultured bacterium. RNAcentral's name for it is "bacterial SSU rRNA". It matches the Rfam family "Bacterial small subunit ribosomal RNA", at positions 370 to 772 of the family's 1533-position model. The record is from RNAcentral.
AAUGGGCGCAAGCCUGAUCCAGCCAUGCCGCGUGAGUGAUGAAGGCCCUAGGGUUGUAAAGCUCUUUCGACGGGGAAGAUAAUGACGGUACCCGUAGAAGAAGCCCCGGCUAACUUCGUGCCAGCAGCCGCGGUAAUACGAAGGGGGCUAGCGUUGUUCGGAAUCACUGGGCGUAAAGCGCGCGUAGGCGGAUUGUUAAGUCGGGGGUGAAAUCCCAGGGCUCAACCCUGGAACUGCCUUCGAUACUGGCGAUCUUGAGUCCGGGAGAGGUGAGUGGAACUCCUAGUGUAGAGGUGAAAUUCGUAGAUAUUAGGAAGAACACCAGUGGCGAAGGCGGCUCACUGGCCCGGUACUGACGCUGAUGUGCGAAAGCGUGGGGAGCAAA